CACGAAGUUAGCCGGUGCUUAUUCUUUGGGUACCGUCAUUCUCUCCGGGUAUUAACCGGAAAGUUUUCUUUCCCAACAAAGGGCUUUACAACCCGAAGGCCUUCUUCACCCACGCGGCAUGGCUGGAUCAGGCUUUCGCCCAUUGUCCAAUAUUCCCCACUGCUGCCUCCCGUAGGAGUCUGGACCGUGUCUCAGUUCCAGUGUGGCUGAUCAUCCUCUCAGACCAGCUACCGAUCGUCGCCUUGGUGGGCCUUUACCCCGCCAACUAGCUAAUCGGACAUCGGCUCAUCCAAUCGCGCAAGGUCUUUCGAUCCCCUGCUUUCACCCGGAGGUCGUAUGCGGUAUUAGCGUAAGUUUCCCUACGUUAUCCCCCACGACAGGGUAGAUUCCGAUGUAUUCCUCACCCGUCCGCCACUCGCCACCCAGAGAGCAGGCUCUCCUGUGCUGCCGUUCGACUUGCAUGUGUUAGGCCUGCCGCCAGCGUUCACUCUGAGCCAGGAUCAAACUC
Molecule: ribosomal RNA, 508 nt
Filed under: uncultured Lysobacteraceae bacterium
Lineage: Bacteria; Pseudomonadati; Pseudomonadota; Gammaproteobacteria; Lysobacterales; Lysobacteraceae
Description: uncultured Xanthomonadaceae bacterium partial 16S ribosomal RNA
Source: RNAcentral